CCUACGGUGGCUGCAGUGGGGAAUAUUGGACAAUGGGCGAAAGCCUGAUCCAGCCAUGCCGCGUGUGUGAAGAAGGCCUUCGGGUUGUAAAGCACUUUCAGUGGGGAAGAAAGCCUUGGGGCUAAUACCCUCGAGGAAGGACAUCACCCACAGAAGAAGCACCGGCUAACUCCGUGCCAGCAGCCGCGGUAAUACGGAGGGUGCGAGCGUUAAUCGGAAUUACUGGGCGUAAAGCGCGCGUAGGCGGUCUGAUAAGCCGGUUGUGAAAGCCCCGGGCUCAACCUGGGAACGGCAUCCGGAACUGUCAGGCUAGAGUGCAGGAGAGGAAGGUAGAAUUCCCGGUGUAGCAGUGAAAUGCGUAGAGAUCGGGAGGAAUACCAGUGGCGAAGGCGGCCUUCUGGACUGACACUGACGCUGAGGUGCGAAAGCGUGGGUAGCAAACAGGAUUAGAUACCCUAGUAGUC
Molecule: ribosomal RNA, 464 nt
Filed under: Vreelandella stevensii
Lineage: Bacteria; Pseudomonadati; Pseudomonadota; Gammaproteobacteria; Oceanospirillales; Halomonadaceae
Description: partial 16S ribosomal RNA
Rfam family: Bacterial small subunit ribosomal RNA
Source: RNAcentral